UUAUCCUUUGUUGCCAGCGAGUAAUGUCGGGGAAACUCAAAGGAGACUGCCGGUGAUAAACCGGAGGAAGGUGGGGAUGACGUCAAGUCAUCAUGGCCCUUACGAGUAGGGCUACACACGUGCUACAAUGGCAUAUACAAAGAGAAGCGAACUCGCGAGAGCAAGCGGACCUCAUAAAGUAUGUCGUAGUCCGGAUUGGAGUCUGCAACUCGACUCCAUGAAGUCGGAAUCGCUAGUAAUCGUAGAUCAGAAUGCUACGGUGAAUACGUUCCCGGGCCUU
Molecule: ribosomal RNA, 280 nt
Filed under: uncultured Enterobacteriaceae bacterium
Lineage: Bacteria; Pseudomonadati; Pseudomonadota; Gammaproteobacteria; Enterobacterales; Enterobacteriaceae
Description: partial 16S ribosomal RNA
Rfam family: Bacterial small subunit ribosomal RNA
Source: RNAcentral